GAAGCAUUCUUCGGAAUGUGGAAGAGUGGCGAACGGGUGAGGAACACGUAAGAAUCUGCCCCUCGGUCGGGGACAACUUUUGGAAACGAAAGCUAAUAUCCGAUACGCUGUGGAGUGAAAGAAUUUCGCCGAGGGAUGAUCUUGCGUCUGAUUAGCUAGUUGGUGCGGUAAUGGCGCACCAAGGCGACGAUCAGUAGCUGGUCUGAGAGGGCGACCGGCCACACUGGGACUGAGACACGGCCCAGACUCC
Molecule: ribosomal RNA, 250 nt
Filed under: uncultured bacterium
Lineage: Bacteria
Description: partial 16S ribosomal RNA
Rfam family: Bacterial small subunit ribosomal RNA
Source: RNAcentral